GCACAGGUGGUUCCGGAACAUGAAGUGCCGCUUCAGGUGCACUGCCGGGAAGGGGACCAAAUAGAAAAUGAAACAGGCACAGGGAAAACCAAGUGACUGGGCUGAGUUGAAUGGCCCAGCACAGAACGUGAAACCACUGAACCACUGACUGGGACCUUCUUCUCCUUCUUGGUGCUGGAGUCCUGAGGAGGAGCCUGCUGGGCCCGCCGCUUCUUCUUUGCAUAGUAGACCUGCCCAGCCGGCCAGCCAGGAGAUGAGGACUGGUCUUGAUGAGGUCCACGGAGAGCUUGCGCAAUGGGGCCGUGGUCGCAUCCCGGAAGGCCAGAGGAAGCCUCCUCGGCAAGAGCCGCACAUUAGGCAAUACCUGCUGGGCGGGGUGAGAGGUGGGCUCUGAGGACAGACCUUUACCUCCAACCUCAAGGGGGAGAACUAACGGGUGGCUGGCUCAUCGCUGCUGCGCGCCUGCUCAUUUGGUCACUGCCUGACAACCCCACUAACAGAGAAAGUCCCCAAGGGCAGAGGCUAUGUCUUCUUCUUGCUGUAUAUAUCUUCUGUGCCGGGAGCAAGGCCUGGCAUGCAGUGGAUAAUAAUAAUAAUAAUUUUUAAAAUAUA
This is a long non-coding RNA of Eptesicus fuscus (big brown bat), 612 nucleotides long. RefSeq lists it as uncharacterized. The record is from RefSeq and is a predicted model, not a curated record. Lineage: Eukaryota; Metazoa; Chordata; Mammalia; Chiroptera; Vespertilionidae. The transcript has 4 exons.